AUUGAACGCUGGCGGCAGGCCUAACACAUGCAAGUCGAGCGGAUGAAGGGAGCUUGCUCCUGGAUUCAGCGGCGGACGGGUGAGUAAUGCCUAGGAAUCUGCCUGGUAGUGGGGGAUAACGUCCGGAAACGGGCGCUAAUACCGCAUACGUCCUGAGGGAGAAAGUGGGGGAUCUUCGGACCUCACGCUAUCAGAUGAGCCUAGGUCGGAUUAGCUAGUUGGUGGGGUAAAGGCCUACCAAGGCGACGAUCCGUAACUGGUCUGAGAGGAUGAUCAGUCACACUGACAGUGAGACGCUCUCCAGACUUAUACGAGAGGCAGGUGUGGGAUAUUGUGGACUGUGCGCGAAAGUCUUCUCCCGACGUGGCGUGUGUGUAGAGGAUCUCUUGGGUGUAUAAAACUCUUUGUGUUGAGAAAGAGGGCAAUGAGUAUAUCUCUCGGUGUUGUCACGUCCACCACAGAAAGCGCAGGGGAUCUCCGUG
RNAcentral lists this ribosomal RNA (482 nucleotides) under uncultured bacterium. Its description in RNAcentral is "partial 16S ribosomal RNA". It matches the Rfam family "Bacterial small subunit ribosomal RNA", at positions 30 to 507 of the family's 1533-position model. The record is from RNAcentral.